AUCCGUAAGAAUUUAAUUUUGGUUCUGAUUGAACGUUUUUCAGUAGUUUUAAGACAUGCAAAUCAUUAUUAAUAAAAGAUAUUAUUAUAUAAAUUCCAAAUAAAUAAUAUUAAUAAAAAAUAAGGUGUAAGGGUGAGUAUAGGUAGAUUAGAUACCUUAUAGACUCCUUAAAUAGGAGAUUAUUACUUCUUGAUCCACAAAGGAUCCGGUAUGCAAGCUUUGCACAACUCGAAAAAGAUACUUAAAGUAAUAUAAAAUUAAGAAAAGAAAUAUUUUUGCCUAACAAACAAAAUAAAAAGAUAAUCUUUUUAAAAAAUUUCAAUAAAUUAACAGUAGUUAACAAUUAAAUUUUAGUAAUUUUAAAUUAGUGCUAAAGCUCCCCUCUCUUUACAGUUGUAAGAGCGGUCGUGGGCUAAAGUUUAAGGACAAGUAAUAUAAUAAUUUAGCAAUUAUAAAAAGGAAAUUUUCCGCUAUAAGAUUUGAUCUAUUCUGUUUAAAGGUAGUUGGUAGAGUAAAAGCCUAUCCAAGCCUACGAUCAGUAGCUAAGUUUGAAAGAACAAAUAGCCACAUAGGUAAUGAAAUUUUCCUAGUAGUGUUUUUACUACCAGCAGUCAAGAAUCUUAGUCAAUGCUCGCAAGAGUGAACUAGCUAACUGAAAUCGCAUAUUUCGUUAAUGGAAAUGUGAUAAAGUAAGGGAAGAAGUCUGACGUUACCUUACUAUAAGUGUUGUCCAAAGCUGGUGCCAGAAGACUCGGUAAGGCCAGAGACGCAAACGUUAAUCGCAAUAACCAGGCGUAAAGGGUUCGUAGGCAGCUUAAAAAUUUUAAAUUAUAUAGCUAUAUGAUUAAUAUACUUAUUAAUUAUAAUAAUUUUAAAAAUAAUACAAGAUAUAAUCAAAUAGAGGAUAAGUUGAACAAUACUUAGAGUAAGGGUUAAAUCUAUAGAUACUAAGUAGAAUACUCAAGGUGAAAACUUUUUAUCCAUUAUUGAUGGAAGCUGAGGAACGAAGGUUUGAACAGAAAAUAGGAUGUGCGACUUGAUAAGUCUAAUUAUUGUAUUGUAUUCUCAGAAUACAUUAUCUUUCGUCUGAUAAUAGCCAACCUAGACAUGCAAAAGAUUUGAUUUGAAUUUUAUCUUUCCAGAAAUGGUUUUGUGUGAAGCUCUAGGGUAAAGUUAAUUUAAAGGGUAAUCUACCUUGAACAUUUGAAAUUCAAAUGUUUUAUAACGAAGGCUGAUUUCUAAGGUUAGGGAGACCGAACUUAUGUAGUAAAGCUUAUUAAUUAGGCAACUAAUCGUCCUAGUUAGUUGUAGACGAACAAAUAAUUAAUAUUUCAAAGUAAGAACCUAAGGAAAUCUAUCGUACAUAAUUAGAAACAAGGGAACACCUAUAACCUGCAAUUAAUGUUUUUAAUUCUUAAUAUAAUAAAAUUGCUAGCUUAUUCCGUAAGGGUAAGUACAUGGUUAGAGGUAAUAUGAUUUAGAAAAAAGCGAAUGUCUAUUUGUAAUGAAUAGAAUAAGGCUAUGCCUAACCUGAAAGGGUGCCUACUUUCUAAAGGUGCUAUAACAAAUAUAAUAAAUAUUUAAUUAAUAAAACAUUUUUACUUAUUUAAUUUAACCUCUGCGUAGCGCGUAGCAGUAUCGUAGCCUAUUUAAAAUUUAAACGCCCCCCUUUAGUAGUAGUUAUAAAAAAGAUUCUUUUUUUUUUUAUUAGGAUACAUAUUCUUUAUUAAUAUAUAUCUUUUCGGCUGCAGUAGCAAGCGUUUAUAGAAGAAAAGAUUAAACCAACUCCAAUUAAACUUGAACAUGCAAUUCCUACUCCUAUUUAUUUAGCUGCUGCUAACUUAAAAUUUAAGAUAUGUAAUAAUAAAAAUAACGAAUUGUUGCCUGAAAUUCGGCAACAUGAAGAAGGAAUUUCGAGUAAUCGUUGAUCACAAGCGCAACGGUGAAGGUAAAAAAUUCGUGAUGAACUAACUGUCUGUCACUGGGAAGAAGCUCGGGUAGGGGGAAACUGCUUCUUAAUUAAUCACUUUUUCUAAAGAAUAGCUUAAAUUUUAUUAAGUAAAAUUUUAAGUGUUGUUUUAUUGAUAAACUUUUAAAUUUUUAAUUGUUUAUCCUUAUUAGUAUUUUGGGGGGGUGUACACCACCCACCAUUUUUACAAUAUUUUAGUAAGAUUAAACAUCUUUGUUAAGCUUAAUUAGUCUUAGUUAACUCAUCUAAGUAACAUCUCAAAAGUCAUAGCAAGGUAGCUGUACUGGAAAGUGCUGCUGUAAUAUAAAUACA
This 2281-nucleotide ribosomal RNA is filed under the name Armillaria borealis. Its description in RNAcentral is "small subunit ribosomal RNA". The stretch from base 1 to 1101 matches the Rfam family "Bacterial small subunit ribosomal RNA". Lineage: Eukaryota; Fungi; Basidiomycota; Agaricomycetes; Agaricales; Physalacriaceae. The record is from RNAcentral.